GGGGAAAGUAUGAAGUCAUCUUUCUCAUUGCUCUCCUCUUUAAGUCCAAGAGCAAAGUACUUCUAAAAGGCAGGCUUUGUGGUUCGCAUGGAAUGUAAAUAGCUCAAAUGGCCCCACUUCCAAGAAGCCUUCUUUAACCCUAAGGCUGAAUGAAACAGAAAAAUCAGUUGGAAGUGAUUUCCCCUCUGUGGUGUCUUCCAGUCCUGGAGAGAACACUGGGAGAUGACUGGAUGACAUGGCUCCCUGUCUGGCCUGUGUCUAUUGAUUUGGUGAACUGGCUUCUACAGGAACAUAGAGAAGAUGUGGCAGAGGUCAGAUGGCUCUGAAAAUGGAGGGGGAAAAAAGCUGCUAUGGUUUUCUUUGUCCAGGCCACUGUCAUAAGGAAGCCUGGAAGAGUGAAGAAAGGUCUGAUUGAUCACAAGGUCCUAUCAAAUGUCAAAGCUGGCCCUGGCUGACCUCCCAUCUAUUCAGAGCUGCUUUGAUUUAAUCUCCAAACUGGCUGCUUCUCCAGGCUGGAAGAAGAUUGAAAUUUCCAACAAGGCAAAGGUGAUGAAAAUGUCUUCAUGGAAUCUUUGGGUACUAAGGAAAAGAGAAAAUGGAGGAGGGCAAUUACCAAAACAAGAAAUCAUCUAAUAAAACAUGAUCCACAGAACAGGAAGCCUGAUUUCUCUUGUCAAGUCACUAAACAGGCAAGAGCCUUCUCAGAUAUGUCCUGAACACCUUCUCUUUGCCUGACAAGUUCAAGAAAUUAAGUCAAAUAAGUAUUUGAUGGAAAUCUACCUGGCUCCAAAGACUGGGCUUCUAACAAUCCUCUCCACAACGUUUGAAUACAAAAAAAGUAUCCUGCUAAAGGACAAAGCCCCUCCAUCUCUUCCCGCCAAGCUCUCUGCGUGCCUGGUGAGAGGUAUAGCACUUUUGCUUUCUUUUUCAAUUUGCUCUUUAAAUGAGUGACAAUAUCACCUAGUGAUUAAGGACCUGCCUGGAGCUGGGCUGAUGCUUGGAGUUGGGCUGAACCUGAGCCUGAAUUCGAGCUCUUCUUCUUCUUGCUGACUUUGACCCUAGGUGAGUUAAUUUUUCUAAGCUUCAGUUUCUUGGUCUAUAAAAAGGAGGAUGAUAAUUCUUUUCUCACUCAGUAUUGUUUUAAAGAUUAGUAAGAUAAUAUAUGCAACGCAUUUAGCACAGUGCCUUGCACAUGAUAAACCCUGAAUAAAUGGUAGCCAGUUUUAAAAUACAACAUAAUUUUAAGCGUUGGUAUUUCUUAUGACUCCAAUCUCAUCCCUCCUUUUCCAUUGUCACUACAUUUGCUCUGUGUCUCCCAUAUCGAAUCUGGAACUUGCAUUCAAAGCC
This 1347-nucleotide long non-coding RNA is filed under the name Sus scrofa (pig). Its description in RNAcentral is "lncRNA (ENSSSCG00005012285.1)". The record is from RNAcentral. Lineage: Eukaryota; Metazoa; Chordata; Mammalia; Artiodactyla; Suidae.